AAAAAGACACAGCAGAAAGGAUUCUCACAUAUUGUUAUAUCCUCUUGAUAAACAGCUUUUUAAAAUUCUUACCCUUGAUAGAAAAUAUUUCUUCACAUAUCUUUUAAACAACUAAUGAUGAAGAUUAUCCUUGUUUUAUCUUCUUUGAUCUAAAAAAUUUGGAGAAAAUCUGAUGACAGUCUACUUUUCUAGGAGACCCCCUGCCUUGCCAUAGAAUCUCAUUUGAUUUAAUUCAAAGAUUUGAUGUUCAAAGGUAUUCAUUCAAAGGCUGUUCAUAUUCCCCAUAGUUGUUUGAAUUCCUUUUCCUCAUCAAAAAAAGCAUUAUUUAGUGUUCGUAUUGUUCCACUGUACAGCAUAAUAGAGUGACAUCUUUAGCUCUUAUGAAAAGAGACUAUGCCCUUAUGUGUUUAUUUAUUCUUUACAAAUGUAUGCAUGUAUUUCACUUAACAAAUAUUUAGUUAGAUUCUGUUAUGUGCCAGGCACUAUACUAGAUAUCUUUAUUUAAAAAAAAAAAAAAAAAAAAGGGCAGUUAAUAUAACAGACAAAGUCUCUCCUUUCGUGGAGCCUAGAUUCUAAAGAAGGUUUGGAGCAAUGUACAAAAACACAUAAUAAUUUCAAUUAUGAAUUUAGAUCAUUGUUAUGCCAGAAAUAAAUGGAAAGUCUGAGAUAGAGUCAUGCAGGUGAGCAGUGGGGAGGAUAAAUAUUAGACAUGCCAACUAAAAAAUAGCCUCAGGAACAAACCAUUCAAAUUGCAGAGAGAGGAGCACAUUGCAGGCAGACGGAACAGCAGAGGCUUUGGUGAGGGAAAGAACACAAACAGGUCACUGAGUCUGUAGCUGGACACUGACCAGCAAUGGGGAGAAUUGCAUGAGAAGAGCUAGGCUGGAUCCUGCAGAGUUUUCUGAUUUGGAAAUGCUCACGUGUAACAGGGGAUUCUUGUAAAGUAUUGCACUGAGGAGCUAGUGUGAUCUAUGUUUCAAAAGAUGACACUGUUUGUGGUAUGGAGAACCAAUGGGAAGGUCACAUAAAUAAAACAAGAAGACAACCUAGCAGAAUAUUGACAUAUAUUAGCAGCUCAGACUCGAAUGUUGGCAAUGCAGCUGUGGAGAAGUGACUAUGAGAGAGGAUCAGGAGGUACAAAUGACAGAAAUCCAUGAUGGAUUAGAUUGGGAUGUGAGGAACCAUGUAUGACCCUUAAGUUUCUGCUCAAGUAUUAGAUGAUAGUUCUACUAACUGAGAAGAAGAAACAGAAGAAGUACCAGGAGUUCUGUCCAGAUCCAGUAAAUUACAUGACAUUUAUAGGACACCCCACUGGAGAUGUUAAAUAGGCAUUUGAUUAUACUGAUGUGAAGCUGUUACACAGAAGAGCCAAAGAUAGCCUCUGCGUACUGGCCCCUAGGUUGUUUCUAUCUUUACUGCAGGCUGAGCCCACCAGGGAAGAAAAAUCAAAUGUUUGCACAUACGUUCAGUUUCUCAAACUGGCUAUGCAAGCAGAUUGUUAGUUAUUUAAAAUCUUCCUGUUUUUCAUACCCCGCCAACCUUCACCCCACAUCUGCUAGCAAUAGAUAAACCCUGUGGUUCGUAAAGACUCAAGCUGCCACUGCUGUUUAGAGUUCUUUUACCCAGAUGCCUUACCCGUCCCCCAUCAUGCUACUGACCAACAUUGCCUGGGCACAUGGCUCCCCUCUCUCCCACGAGUUCUCUCUCCCUCCUCGUCAUCCUAGUACUGACCCUGACCCUUCACCUCUGGUCUUCCUCCCAAAUGGAGCCUUUCAAAGUAGCCCAAUAAAGCUUGUGUGUGGUCCUGGCACCUUGUGGUCAUAUCUUUUUAUUUGAUCAACACAAAAUCCCUCAAAUCCCAAAAGAAACUCAAAGAAAAGUUUUGUGUAUCAGGAAGUAAUAAGCAUAGAGAUGGCAUUAAAGCCAUGAGAAGCAACAAUACUACUUCAGGAGAAGUGUCUAGAAAUACAGCAGGAGGGCCCAGGACUAAAUCUGAAGAGCUAUAAAAUUUGAUAUCUGGUAAAGAGGAAAAACAUGCAAAUUUAACCACUUGGUCAAUUCCUACUUCCUUUUCUUUCAUUGAGGCAACAUUAUUGGUUCCUUUAAGAUAGAACCCUGUCUCCUUCACCCCAACUCUUCUCUGCACCUGGGGUUUUUCUAUAUAAUUGCUUUACCACAUAGUUUUGAGAGUAUCUGAUUAUUAGUCUAUCUCCACAUAAUGCUUUCCUUGAAGGCAAAACAUGUGUUCAUGUCUAAAUUCCAGGGAUCGAGGGAAGCACCUGACAUACAGUGCUAAACAUUUCGGGAAUGACGGAAUAAACGUGUGACUGAAGGAGCAAUCUGGUCAUGUUAGAACGGGUACAGAAAAGAGCCAUGACGCUAGAUGCUCCAGUUAGAGAAUGCAAACAAACUGGGGCUAAUUUAACCAACACUCACCAUACAGCAGCUGAGAGACCUGCAUAAAGCAAAGAUCAAUUGUUUGCAGCACAGUAUAAAACAACAACUCAACAAAAUCAACAUAGGAAAGAUAGAAGGUGACUCUAUUAAAGGUACUUUUCUCCAAAGAUUAUCCUGUUCACCAUGGAAGAUACUGAAAUCUACAAUGGCUGGAGGUGGAAUCCCUCACCAAAAAGCAGACAUUUACCUAUAUUUCUUUACUACCUACAACAAAUGUUCAUUGGCUCACUCUGGAAGUGAACUUUGAUCCAACUAUGAUUGGUCUUCAGUUACCAGACCCUAUCAUACAUCUGUAAAGUUUGA
Nycticebus coucang (slow loris) is the source of this 2760-nucleotide long non-coding RNA. RefSeq lists it as uncharacterized. Lineage: Eukaryota; Metazoa; Chordata; Mammalia; Primates; Lorisidae. The transcript is spliced from 3 exons. The record is from RefSeq and is a predicted model, not a curated record.